This 271-nucleotide long non-coding RNA is filed under the name Homo sapiens (human). RNAcentral's name for it is "HSALNT0351248". Lineage: Eukaryota; Metazoa; Chordata; Mammalia; Primates; Hominidae. The record is from RNAcentral.
GGUCAAAGUAGUAAGACGUGGACAGGUUGAUCUGGCGGUUGAUGGCGGCCUCUGAGUCCUGGUGGUAGUUCUGGCGCACCUGCGAGGUGGACGCGGUCGUCAUGGCAGUGACUAAGGAGAGGCGGCGGCGGCGGCUGCUGCGCGGCGCUGGAGCUGCGGCGGGGGCCUUGGGGCAGUCCCAGGGCGCGGUGAAGAGGUGACGGAGGGCUGGCUAUGGGCGGCUGGCCGGGGUAGGGGACGAGGGCUGGGUUCCAUCCAAGCACUGUUGAAG